Molecule: ribosomal RNA, 392 nt
Filed under: Verrucomonas sp.
Lineage: Eukaryota; Cercozoa; Thecofilosea; Ventricleftida
Description: partial small subunit ribosomal RNA
Rfam family: Eukaryotic small subunit ribosomal RNA
Source: RNAcentral
AGCUCCGAAAGCGUAUAUUAAAAUUGUUGCAGUUAAAAAGCUCGUAGUUGGAUUUCUGGCCAUCUGUGCGCAACCCGCCCUCGUUAGAGGUGUGUGUGCUGCCGACGCGGAUGCCAUCCUUCUAGAACUCUUUUUUGGCCUUCACUGGCUGAAUUUUUGGUCUAGAUCUUUUACUUUGAAAAAAUUAGAGUGUUUAAAGCAGGCUUACGCCAUUGAAUACAUUAGCAUGGAAUAAUAAUUUAGGACUUCUGUUCUAUUUUGUUGGUCAUAGAACUGGAGUAAUGAUUGAUAGGGAUAGUUGGGGGUGCUAGUAUUAAACGGCCAGAGGUGAAAUUCUAUGAUCCGUUUAAGACUGCCUAACGCGAAAGCAUUCACCAAGGAUGUCUUCUUUA